CUCCCGAAAGGGAGCUUCCGCAAGGACACUCGUAGAGGUGCUGCAUGGCUGUCGUCAGCUCGUGUCGUGAGAUGUUGGGUUAAGUCCCGCAACGAGCGCAACCCUUGUCUUCUGUUGCCAUCAGGUUAUGCUGGGCACUCUGAAGAGACUGCCGGUGAUAAACCGGAGGAAGGUGGGGAUGACGUCAAGUCAGCAUGGCCUUUAUGUCUGGGGCCACACACGUGCUACAAUGGCAGAUACAAACCGUCGCGAGACCGCAAGGUGGAGCUAAUCGGAUAAAGUCUGUCUCAGUUCGGAUUGCAGGCUGCAACUCGCCUGCAUGAAGUUGGAAUCGCUAGUAAUCGCGGAUCAGCACGCCGCGGUGAAUACGUUCCCGGGCCUUGUACACACCGCCCGUCACAUCACGAAAGCCGGUUGUACUAGAAGUCGCCACACUAACCUGCAAGGGAGGGAGGCGCCUAAGGUAUGGUCGGUGAUUGGGGUGAAGUCGUAACAAGGUAGGCGUAGUGCU
Molecule: ribosomal RNA, 511 nt
Filed under: uncultured bacterium
Lineage: Bacteria
Description: bacterial SSU rRNA
Rfam family: Bacterial small subunit ribosomal RNA
Source: RNAcentral